RNAcentral lists this ribosomal RNA (497 nucleotides) under uncultured bacterium. Its description in RNAcentral is "partial 16S ribosomal RNA". It matches the Rfam family "Bacterial small subunit ribosomal RNA", at positions 28 to 507 of the family's 1533-position model. The record is from RNAcentral.
GACGAACGCUGGCGGCGUGCUUAAUACAUGCAAGUCGAACGGUGAGGGCCGGUACUUGUACCAAGUGGAUGAGCAGAGAGCGUGUGAGUAACGUGUGUGGAAUGUGCCUGUGAGCGGGGUACCACCUGUGGAAAGGAAUGCUAAUACGGCAGAAGCACUUGAAACACAGGGUGGGAGGUUGAAAGAUGGAGUUUCGUCACUCAAAGAUGAUCCCGCGUUGUAUUAGCUGGUUGGUGAGUUAAAGGCGCACCAAGGCGUUGAAGCAUAGCAGACCUGAGAGGGUGGGCGGCCACCUUGAGACUGUGACACGGCACAAAGUCAUACGGAAGGCAGCAGUAGGGAAUCUGCGGCAAUGGGCGAAAGAUUGACCGCGAAACGCGGCGUGCGUGAGGAAGAUCUCCGGGUCGUAGAACUCUGUCGGUGGAGUAGAACGCUGGUGAGCGUGGAACGCUCCGCAAGUGACGGUAACGGCUCAGGAAGGAACGGCUAACUACGUG